GGUUACACAUUGUUUUCCAUUUUUGAAUAUUUCUGUUGAAUUUGUAUAUUGCAGUACAAACACCGAGCUCGUGUUGUUCAGCUCUUCUGCCAUACAAAUAACUUCAGCCAGAACUGAGCACCCAGCAUUCAAGGCGAAUAGUUUGACCAAUAACAACAGGGGCAUUGUUGCGAGAACCUCCUGCACGGAGCAUUUCAAGGACUUCACAAAGGAGCUUCGCUAUCCUUUGACUGAUGACAUUUCUGGGCCUUAAAUGGAUACCAAUGGGUCUAACGAGCUGUGGGACAGGCUCCCACGAUUCGUGGAUAAACUAUAUUCCAAAAUUUGCCAUUAAUCAUCGAUGUUCAAACGAAAUUGCCUAGAAAUCGCCAGCCAAGCCAAACAAGCUCAAACUCUUUGCAUAAAUCUCGCCCAACUUUUGCAGCCGUUUGAAAUAAAAAGGGGAGCAGGACUAAAACUGUGCAAAAAUUCAACGAAAAUGGAGCAAAAUCUGGAACACUAUUGGCCAAAAGGAGUCAACUUUGACAACGCUUUCCGUGCUCCAUUCGCCGGAUCCAGCGAAGCCAGUUAACCGCAAUAAUUUAUGCCUUUGAGCCGUGUUUGAGUCAAAGUCUUUUGUCUCUGUGUGUGUGGUGUGGGUUUGCGUGGCCACAUAAUUUUGCCUAUUAAAGUGAAACACUAACAGCGCUUAUCAUUACAGCAGAGCACCGGAAAAACAAGGCAAACAACAGCGAGCAUCUCAGCUGCGUGGCGCAUCCUUUCGUCGACGCCAUUUUGUUUAGUUUAUGCCGUGCCAGUGUGUGUGUGUGUCUGUGUGUUAGUGUGCUAGUGUGUGUUUGGGUGUCAGUAUGCGGCUGUGUGUGUCUGACGGGGAAGUCCCUGCCUCGCACUUCCUAAUGCAAAAAAGCGACUUUUCAGCACAAAUUUUUAGCAAAAUUAAAAUAUUUAUGUUGCCGACGUGCUUAAUGCCCGUGCUGUUUCGCCCCAAAACCCGUGCACCCACUUCCCCAACUUUACGCCCCCCUCUUGUUUAGUUUUCGGAGUGUAUGGGUUUCCUGGUCGGGACUACGUGCGUGGUACGGAUGCUAGCAAUGAUGAGCAGCGGUUGGGUACACUACCCGCGAAAGGGUAUUGCAUUGGCCUGCCACGAGUUUGAUGGGAAACUCUAAGGAAUCCUUGGAAAGUCCUUUAACGCUUGUCUAAGCCUAAAAGCCAAUCUCAACUGAUGAAUACUCAGUCGUCACGAAAGAUAUAUAAAAAAAUACAGCAAGUGGCAAACUUUAAAGAAGAAAAGAAAAUAUUUUAAAAUUUUUACUUAAAAAACAUCACCAUUAAUGCCGUUCAGCUCAUCCAGAGCAUUUCCCAUUCGAUAUUCACCAUUUAAUUAUAUAUUCCUCUCCAGUUUUAAUGUUGAGCUCCCACACACACACACACACACACGCGUAUACGCUCACGCUCACCCACACUCACGCAUCCUGGGGCAAAUGCCCUGCAUUAACUUCCUUCCUGUCCCGCUCUCUCUUUCGGCGUAAGGACGACACUGCCACUUAAUGUUCGCGCUUUAGCAAUAUGAAAUGCAGGACGAGGGUGCUCCGUUUUGCCACGGUUUCCGCGGCAAGCUGCAGUUGCUGCCAUAUUAAAAACAAUAUAUUUGCGUCAACUUUCGCACUGGUCAUUUAUGGCCUUCAAUGGCCAUUAACUAUUUACAUUUCCGGCUGCACUUUGUGCUCUCACAUGAUUUACACAUUUGCGGGCAUUUUUAAAGUGUCAUUAAGAUGAUGGAGCAAGAAACCGAAACCGGGGGAAAAAAGUAAAUUAAAGCAAACGCCUUAGGCGUUGUUCCACUUAUUCUGCAGAUACUUGCUUGCUCUACCGGCCUUUAUUUUUUCUGUAUCUUUUUAACGCUUGCCCUUUACAUUUCCCAUUUGCUGUCUGCUCCUUGUUAAAAACGCUCGAAAUUUAUGACUAUUCUGGGACCUGCGGCAGCUUGCGGCUGAAAUGCUCUUAGAUUUUUCCACUCUGCCUUCUGCGGUUUGCUUCCACUGGGCUCUUUUUGCCAUCCAUUGUCCUGGAUUGUGGUCACAGGGUUUAAAGUUUAAGCAAUUGCAGAUUUGCCUUUUAAUUGUUGCCCCUGUUUUGGUCCAGAAAGCAAGAAAUACAUUUGGCA
This is a long non-coding RNA of Drosophila simulans, 2167 nucleotides long. RefSeq lists it as uncharacterized. The record is from RefSeq and is a predicted model, not a curated record. Lineage: Eukaryota; Metazoa; Arthropoda; Insecta; Diptera; Drosophilidae. The transcript is spliced from 3 exons.